Non-coding RNA from Pelobates cultripes (western spadefoot toad), 229 nucleotides. Lineage: Eukaryota; Metazoa; Chordata; Amphibia; Anura; Pelobatidae. The record is from the annotation of a GenBank genome assembly.
CUCUAGACUGGCACCUUCGCCAUUGGCCAUAGCUAUAAGAAGUGUGGCUGGCACCAGCCCUGCAUAGGUUGGCAGGGGAGAUCCUUUGAUAUCCCCUGCUGGCCUCGGCCCAUGGCCAUAACUGCCCACUGGGCAUUUGAUGCUGGCAAAUGUAGACCUGUGGAUUCUUGGAUCCUAUUCAGGGUGGCAGUUACCCAGUCCCCAAAUUUAAACAAAUAUAGCUUAACUG